Molecule: long non-coding RNA, 2086 nt
Organism: Amblyraja radiata (thorny skate)
Lineage: Eukaryota; Metazoa; Chordata; Chondrichthyes; Rajiformes; Rajidae
Exons: 4
Source: RefSeq, a predicted model, not a curated record
CCGUUCGCUCUCCACUCUCGCUCCCAACCCGGAAUCCUGCCACAGAUAUUUGUUCCUAAUCAAAUUGCUGUUAAUAAUAAAUGGACGCACAUUAUAUUGCUGGUUUUGAAAAUGUUGAAGACGGUUAAUGCAAUAUUAAUCGCCCAGGUUGAUAUAAAACAGAGAGAGCGCGUGUUGGGCAACCGAGGCACAGUCAUUUCCAACAGGAUUUCGUCUUAGACGGGCAGAGGUCCUCCAGUAGUGAUAGCGAGAGACUGUGCCCACACACACAAACAGGCAAAGACUGGCCACCAGGAUAAUCCAGAGACCAUCAGUACCUCCUCGUCAACCCCAAAGCUGAGCUGCAGGGACGAAAUCGGUACCGUCACCGCCUACACUUGAAGCAAGGAUCAAUGGAACAUCCUGUUCAUUUGGACAAGUGCAUCAGCUACCCAUUUAAAGACCCGAGGAGAAAUGUCAGUGGAGCUGAAUUGGGAAGGUACAUUCUAUAAAUUGACUCUUAUUCCUUUUGCUUAGGCAGUUCCUGCGGACAAGAAUAUCGUCGUUCUACAACAAUCGGUGGCUUCUGAAGUGACCAAUAGGAUCUGCAAACUCUGGCAGAAGUGGCACAUAUGAAUUUUAUUGGGGUGGACAGAUUAUUGGAUCAUUGUGCAUCCCUUCCACUGCAAGCACUUUGUCACCAUGUCCUCUGUUGAAGAGACUUGACGCGCUUGAUGACUUCUAGGAUGUUUUUCUGCUGGUUUGGGGAUGCCAAACUUCAUAAGAAGGGCUGACAGGUAUUUUCUCCAUCCACCUGAGAAUUGCUUUGCCUUGGCAUAGUUGGCAUAUGGUCAAUAUGGCUCAUUUAUCGGAUUUAGUUGAAUGUUGUCAGAGCUUUAAAGUUAGGUAAGUUGGGCUUGGAGAUAUUGUUGGUUUGCCUAUCCUGCAAAUGGAUUUGGAAGGUUUUUCCCAGGCAAUAAUUGUGGUACAUCUCCAAUGUUUUGAAGUUUUAACUGUGAGUCGUCCAUGUUUCUAAUACAUAAAAGGAAUCAUUCUUAUUGGUAGACCAUGUGAUUGGUGGCAGGUUUGGAUUCUUGAUUUUCCAACACUCAGAGGGUUGUAUUGGAGGCAUUGGUGGGUUUCAUCACUGACAGUAGACCCUCCUGAUAGAAGAUGAAUCACAUUACAAGAUCUCAUUAUCGAUCCUGAUUGUUGGAUGGGUAAUUUAGUGCUGGGACAAGAAGGUUCUAUGUCUUGUAUCUGUUUUGUGUAAGAAUCAUCAACUUACAUGGUGCAAUGAUUCAUUACUGUUCUACUUCAAAACAAUGAAACCAGUUUGAUGUCAUUACUAGAAGAUCAGGAAUUACUACAUCAUAAAUGCCUGGCAUUCUUGGACUGAAAACACCCACAUAGCUCAAGAGAGAAAGGCACAUCCUCAGGCAUCUAAAAGCCAAGAUACAACAAAAACUUAUGUUAUAUAGAAAGGAUGGUGGGUGGAAAGAGCACAGAAUAUCCAGCAAUUGGCUGACAACUGUAUUAUGCGUGGAAUUUUCAGCACUGCCAAAGUCAUCUUCAAUCCAAACACUUCUUAUUAAAGAAGCAAAAAUAUAAAGUACAGUAAACAAGUUGGUGCCCACAAGAAGGAGCAGUUUGGAAAAUGUCAAACAAGACUGCCUUAAUGUGAAUGCCCUUUAUUCUAUUUUACAACAUGCUAUCCACUACAAUGUCAGUACUACUACAGCUGGAUAAGAGGUUCUGAUCUGCUGAAAGCAAUGCUCUUGAUAUAAUAGUGAUUACCUUGGAGAGAACUAAUCUCAUGACGUAAUUACAUUUAAAGGAGCAUCACCAACAAAAGAUAACGCUUCAGAAAUUGUCUCAUAUAUCUUUUCCAUGGAUACAAGACCUGAAUCUAAUUGAUAACAAUUAUGUAAUAAGUUACAAUGCAACAUUAUCAAAAUGAAGCAGGUUUGGUCCUCUGUGUAUCUCUCCUGUCCAAUGAUCUCAAAGUAAUCCUGUAAUUGUCAUCCUCGACGACCUAAAACUAUUGGCUGAAUAAGGUAAACAAUUGCAGUUGGACGAAAAGAGAGAAAAGUAGAAAAAAACACUA